This 1491-nucleotide ribosomal RNA is filed under the name metagenome. Its description in RNAcentral is "bacterial SSU rRNA". It matches the Rfam family "Bacterial small subunit ribosomal RNA". The record is from RNAcentral.
AGAGUUUGAUCAUGGCUCAGAUUGAACGCUGGCGGCAUGCCUUACACAUGCAAGUCGAACGGCAGCACGAGAGCUUGCUCUUGGUGGCGAGUGGCGAACGGGUGAGUAAUAUAUCGGAACGUACCCUAGAGUGGGGGAUAACGUAGCGAAAGUUACGCUAAUACCGCAUAUGAUCUACGGAUGAAAGUGGGGGAUCGCAAGACCUCAUGCUCAUGGAGCGGCCGAUAUCUGAUUAGCUAGUUGGUGGGGUAAAAGCUCACCAAGGCGACGAUCAGUAGCUGGUCUGAGAGGACGACCAGCCACACUGGAACUGAGACACGGUCCAGACUCCUACGGGAGGCAGCAGUGGGGAAUUUUGGACAAUGGGCGCAAGCCUGAUCCAGCAAUGCCGCGUGAGUGAAGAAGGCCUUCGGGUUGUAAAGCUCUUUUGUCAGGGAAGAAACGGUGGACUCUAAUACAGAUCACUAAUGACGGUACCUGAAGAAUAAGCACCGGCUAACUACGUGCCAGCAGCCGCGGUAAUACGUAGGGUGCAAGCGUUAAUCGGAAUUACUGGGCGUAAAGCGUGCGCAGGCGGUUGUGCAAGACAGAUGUGAAAUCCCCGGGCUCAACCUGGGAAUUGCAUUUGUGACUGCACGGCUAGAGUGUGUCAGAGGGGGGUAGAAUUCCACGUGUAGCAGUGAAAUGCGUAGAGAUGUGGAGGAAUACCGAUGGCGAAGGCAGCCCCCUGGGAUAACACUGACGCUCAUGCACGAAAGCGUGGGGAGCAAACAGGAUUAGAUACCCUGGUAGUCCACGCCCUAAACGAUGUCUACUAGUUGUCGGGUCUUAAUUGACUUGGUAACGCAGCUAACGCGUGAAGUAGACCGCCUGGGGAGUACGGUCGCAAGAUUAAAACUCAAAGGAAUUGACGGGGACCCGCACAAGCGGUGGAUGAUGUGGAUUAAUUCGAUGCAACGCGAAAAACCUUACCUACCCUUGACAUGUCUGGAAUCCUUGAGAGAUCAGGGAGUGCUCGAAAGAGAAUCAGAACACAGGUGCUGCAUGGCUGUCGUCAGCUCGUGUCGUGAGAUGUUGGGUUAAGUCCCGCAACGAGCGCAACCCUUGUCAUUAGUUGCUACGAAAGGGCACUCUAAUGAGACUGCCGGUGACAAACCGGAGGAAGGUGGGGAUGACGUCAAGUCCUCAUGGCCCUUAUGGGUAGGGCUUCACACGUCAUACAAUGGUACAUACAGAGGGCCGCCAACCCGCGAGGGGGAGCUAAUCCCAGAAAGUGUAUCGUAGUCCGGAUUGUAGUCUGCAACUCGACUACAUGAAGUUGGAAUCGCUAGUAAUCGCGGAUCAGCAUGUCGCGGUGAAUACGUUCCCGGGUCUUGUACACACCGCCCGUCACACCAUGGGAGCGGGUUUCACCAGAAGUGGGUAGCCUAACCGCAAGGAGGGCGCUCACCACGGUGGGAUUCGUGACUGGGGUGAAGUCGUAACAAGGUA